RNAcentral lists this ribosomal RNA (253 nucleotides) under uncultured bacterium. RNAcentral describes it as "partial 16S ribosomal RNA". It matches the Rfam family "Bacterial small subunit ribosomal RNA", at positions 524 to 776 of the family's 1533-position model. The record is from RNAcentral.
GACAGAGGGUGCAAACGUUGUUCAGAAUUACUGGGCGUAAAGCGCGUGUAGGCGGCUUGGCAAGUCGGGUGUGAAAGCCCCGGGCUCAACCUGGGAAGUGCACUCGAAACUGCUUGGUUUGAGUACUGGAGAGGGAAGCGGAAUUCUCGGUGUAGAGGUGAAAUUCGUAGAUAUCGAGAGGAACACCGGUGGCGAAGGCGGCUUCCUGGACAGUUACUGACGCUGAGACGCGAAAGCGUGGGGAGCAAACAGG